AGUGAAAGUGGAAAAGAAACAGUGGGAGGAAUGAGAGGCAAGAAGCAGCGGGUAGCACUUUUCUCGGUAUCAAAGAGACGUGAAACUAGUCAGGCAACCUAGGGUGUGAAUAAUGUGGCAAGGAAAUAAAAGGCCUGCUAGCAAAUGCUCAGUUGAGCUUGGUAAUGGGUCCUCUCCCAGCAUCUCCAGCCAAGAGCUUGACUGCAACCUCAUAUGAGAUUUUGAGCCAUAACCAUUCAGCUAAACUGCUUCUGGAUACCUGACCAUAGAAACUGUGAGAUUAUAGGAGAAGCAGAUCUUAGGGGGACAAGAGUACAUAUGAAACACAGCAGAGGAGUAGGAUAUGUCUUUGAAUGAAGAUGCCUGAGGGACUGAAUAAAGAACCUGGACAACUAAAGAAAAAAGACACCUAUGGAUCAGAAUUGAGACAAUUUCUUCACACUGAGGAUUGCUCAGCAGGAAUGCUACUUAAUUUUUUUUCUUGUAAAAAAAGAACUUCCAGUUUCCCAAGACGCAACAUUGAAUUCAAUCAGAGGUAAAGAUUCUGGACUAUUGGAUUAAAUGAGGAGGCAGGAGCUACUAUCUCUUGCAGUGUGAAACCAGGGCCGGGGAUGAAGAUAUGGACACAUCUCAGCUUUCCAGGGAUGCUGUGAUGUGGGUGAGCAUGAGCUUUGUCUAUGGGCUGAAUUGCAUCCCUCCAAAAUUCAUAUGUUAUGGUCCUAACCCCUAGUACCUCCGAAUGCGACUGUUUGGAGAUAGGGUCUUUAGAGAUGUUAUUAAAUUAAAAUGAGGUUAUUAGAGUGGCUCCUAAUCCAAUAUGAUUGGUAUCCUUAUAAGUAGAGGAAAUUUGCACAUGGCUGGGUACAGAGAAAAGUCUAUGUAAAGACUCAGGGAGAAGACCAUCUAAAGCCAAGAAGAAAGCCUUCAGAAGGAACCAACCCUGCUGACACCUUAAACUUGGCCUUCUAGCCUCUAGACUGUGAGAAAAUAAAUUUUUGUUGUUUAAGGCAUCUAGUACUUUGUUAUAGCAGCUUGAGCAAACUAAUACAAGUUCCAUUUGUAGUAGAAGCUAUUAAACAUCAUUACAUAGUCUAUGUCUGCACUCAACAAAGACUGGUUCCCACCAUUAAGACAAGCUGCUCCUUCUACCACUUGGGAGGAAAUCAGCUUAAGGAAAGGUGUUAGAAAUAUUAGGAAAUACAGAUUAAAAAAUGAAGAAACAAAAUAUAACUGUGAUCUCACCACUCAAAGAAAGGAUGUACCCAUUUAUAUUCAGCAAGCCUAUUUUGAGUGCAACAUAAAGCCCUGUCACUGGUAACUCUUGACUCAGCUGCUCAAGGGCUUUCAGCCAAAAUCCUAGGAGGAGAGUGAGGAAACUAGAGGACACUGAAAAGCUGUGCCACAAGUGACUCAGAUCCUGCAAGUGGCUCGAUGGAGGAGUGUCCCGUGUUGGUGGCGGAGGUUUUUCCUUCCUUGUGAAAUUAUGCCAUUCAUUAGAAGGUGAUACUGUCAUCAAUGUGAGAGGCCCAGGACUCUGCAGGGCCUGAAGAAAUCCUGGGCAAUGAGUCUGAGGGAAGUCUCUCAGAGCAGCUACUCUGAGAGAGUAAAGCCGCAGCCUUUGUGGGGUAUGAAAGCAG
RNAcentral lists this long non-coding RNA (1637 nucleotides) under Homo sapiens (human). RNAcentral describes it as "long non-coding RNA NONHSAT209309.1". Lineage: Eukaryota; Metazoa; Chordata; Mammalia; Primates; Hominidae. The record is from RNAcentral.